Molecule: unclassified non-coding RNA, 300 nt
Filed under: uncultured fungus
Lineage: Eukaryota; Fungi
Description: sequence contains 5.8S rRNA gene, ITS2
Rfam family: 5.8S ribosomal RNA (bases 1-73)
Source: RNAcentral
GUGAGUCAUCGAAUCUUUGAACGCACUUUGCACCUCGUGGCUUUUGUCACAAGGUAUACUUGUUUGAGUAUCUAAAACAACCUCACUCCUCCUCUGGGAUGAAGUGGACCUGAAUUUCGAUGAAACGCUAUCAAAAUAGCGUAGAGUCGUUAUUUUAAAUAAGGAUUGACCUCUCUCUUUUUAUCCAAGAAGAGAGGGUGGGACGCCUUCGUUGGAGUCUUGACAGAGUCAUUGGGAUAACAUCUCAACAAUCGCCUGUCAAGUGCCUUUCUUGUAAUAGGGAAAGGAAAAAACGUUGGC